Long non-coding RNA from Etheostoma spectabile (orangethroat darter), 338 nucleotides. RefSeq lists it as uncharacterized. The transcript is spliced from 2 exons. The record is from RefSeq and is a predicted model, not a curated record. Lineage: Eukaryota; Metazoa; Chordata; Actinopteri; Perciformes; Percidae.
ACCCUCCCUCCUCAGAGAUCCUUCCUCCACCCUCCCUCCUCGCUCAUAGCUCCUCAGAGAUCCCUCCUUCCUCCUCGCUCUUAGAUCCUCAGAGAUCCUUCCUCCAUCCUCCCUCAUAGCUCCUCAGAGAUCUCUCCUCUACCAUCACUCCUCGGGGCAGGAAUAAGAGCUUGGAGACGGCCUACAAGAAAGAGGGACAGAACAACUCCUGGUUCAACCGAGGAGCGAGGAACUAUCAAAUAAGUAAAGUGAGAUGCAAUUUUGAAAUCCUUCCAGCCGUGAACACAAUUAAGCAAUGACAUUAAUAUCAAAAUGCUACAUGUAGAACCCUAAAAAGG